GCACUGAUAGCUCAGCGGUAGAGCAAUCGGCUGCAGUUUGCCAAAAAUACAUCCGAUAGUAAGGAUUGCCUAAACUUACACAACAUCAUCACAGCUUGACACUAACAAAUCACUUCCAGGGUCCUCGGUUCAAAUCCGGGUCAGUGCU
RNAcentral lists this transfer RNA (148 nucleotides) under Nemania serpens. RNAcentral describes it as "tRNA-Cys". It matches the Rfam family "tRNA". Rfam says of the family: Transfer RNA (tRNA) molecules are approximately 80 nucleotides in length. Lineage: Eukaryota; Fungi; Ascomycota; Sordariomycetes; Xylariales; Xylariaceae. The record is from RNAcentral.